UGCGUAGGCGGCUUGUUAAGUCGGGGUGAAAUACUUCGGCUCAACCGGAGAAUUGCCUUCGAUACUAGCGAGCUGGAGGAAGGUAGGGGUCGCGGGAACUGCCAGUGGAGCGGUGAAAUGCGUUGAUAUUGGCAGGAACGCCGGUGGUGAAGACGCGCGGCUGGACCUUUUCUGACGCUGAUGCACGAAAGCCAGGGGAGCAAACG
This 206-nucleotide ribosomal RNA is filed under the name uncultured bacterium. RNAcentral's name for it is "partial 16S ribosomal RNA". It matches the Rfam family "Bacterial small subunit ribosomal RNA", at positions 568 to 774 of the family's 1533-position model. The record is from RNAcentral.